UGGGGAAUAUUGGUCAAUGGGCGAGAGCCUGAACCAGCCAAGCCGCGUGAAGGAAGAAGUAUCUCGGUAUGUAAACUUCUAUCAGCAGGGAAGAUAAUGACGGUACCCAAGGAGGAAGCCCCGGCUAACUACGUGCCAGCAGCCGCGGUAAUACGUAGGGGGCAAGCGUUAUCCGGAUUUACUGGGUGUAAAGGGAGCGUAGACGGAUGUGCAAGUCUGAAGUGAAAGCCCGGGGCUCAACCCCGGGACUGCUUUGGAAACUGUGUAUCUAGAGUGCCGGAGAGGUAAGCGGAAUUCCCAGUGUAGCGGUGAAAUGCGUAGAUAUUGGGAGGAACACCAGUGGCAAAGGCGGCUUACUGGACGGUAACUGACGUUGAGGCUCGAAAGCGUGGGGAGCAAACAGGAUUAGAUACC
This 414-nucleotide ribosomal RNA is filed under the name uncultured bacterium. Its description in RNAcentral is "bacterial SSU rRNA". It matches the Rfam family "Bacterial small subunit ribosomal RNA", at positions 355 to 786 of the family's 1533-position model. The record is from RNAcentral.